Gasterosteus aculeatus aculeatus (three-spined stickleback) is the source of this 880-nucleotide long non-coding RNA. NCBI's taxonomy places the organism in Eukaryota, Metazoa, Chordata, Actinopteri, Perciformes, Gasterosteidae. The record is from Ensembl.
CAGGGACAAACGCAUGAUGUGAGGGCUCGUGAUUGGGUGGAAGUGAGCUGUGACUAACGGAGAAAGACAAGCUAAAAGAAGAAGAAAGACGAAAAGACAAAGGAAUUUGAUAGGUGCGAUAAAAUCCACAGCAGAUACCAGGAGUAUGUAACAAAGUGGGAAAAAGGUGUGAAGGAAAGCGAGAAAGAAAAUUUAAAAAGGACACAAAAUGAGAGCGCUCCCGUGAUCGACAUGAAUGACUUCAUGUAACGAGAGAAGGAGAGAGUGGAUGUUCACCGCUCACACAGCCGGAUCCACGUUGCACGUUCUUCUCGCCUCGCAGAUUCUUUUCCACGAGAGGAAGUGCUACAACAAUCUGACGUCAUGACAAACGACUAACGCUGGAGACACCAGGACACUUGGCACCACACUGACGUGACCCAAAAUUCGACCCUGCGGGACGCCAGUGACGGUCUGACAUGAAAGAUGAGGCGCAGAGGAGGACAUCAUCAACAGGCGGCGGGGAAACAAAGCUCCAGCUAAUCGCUGCUUCCUACAAAACUACAUCUGUAAAGUUACUUUUAACCCGAGAAACAAGCAAGACCAAAUAGCGAAACAGAGUAAAGACUCUUACACAGUCAAUUCAUGCUGUAGACGUGUUUUGUUCCUCACAAAAUUAACCUCUUUGAACCUUAACCAAUUAUUUUUACCAAGCAGGGAAGAGCAGCUUAAGACAACUUCAGGCACUUGCGUAACAAACUACAAGAAGAAACAGAUCUGCGCGCAUUUCCCCCCCUGGUAACCGUCCAAUAUUGAGGCUUCUUCAUGCCUCUGCUCUCGCUGUCUGCAAUGAGCGUCUGUGUACAUAGUUCUCCUGCACUUGGAUGCCCUUGCCACUCUG